RNAcentral lists this ribosomal RNA (505 nucleotides) under uncultured bacterium. Its description in RNAcentral is "partial 16S ribosomal RNA". It matches the Rfam family "Bacterial small subunit ribosomal RNA", at positions 28 to 507 of the family's 1533-position model. The record is from RNAcentral.
GACGAACGCUGGCGGCGUGCCUAAUACAUGCAAGUAGAACGCACAGUUUAUACCGUAGCUUGCUACACCAUAGACUGUGAGUUGCGAACGGGUGAGUAACGCGUAGGUAACCUGCCUGGUAGCGGGGGAUAACUAUUGGAAACGAUAGCUAAUACCGCAUAAUAUUAAUUAUUGCAUGAUAAUUAAUUGAGAGGUGCAAUUGCACCACUACCAGAUGGACCUGCGUUGUAUUAGCUAGUAGGUGAGGUAACGGCUCACCUAGGCGACGAUACAUAGCCGACCUGGGAGGGUGAUCGGCCCCACUGGGACUGAGACACGGCCCAGACUCCUACGGGAGGCAGCAGUAGGGAAUCUUCGGCAAUAGACGAAAGUCUGACCGAGCAACGCCGCGUGAGUGAAGAAGGUUUUCGGAUCGUAAAGCUCUGUUGUAAGAGAAGAACGGGUGUGAGAGUGGAAAGUUCACACUGUGACGGUAUCUUACCAGAAAGGGACGGCUAACUACGUG